Long non-coding RNA from Eucalyptus grandis, 552 nucleotides. RefSeq lists it as uncharacterized. NCBI's taxonomy places the organism in Eukaryota, Viridiplantae, Streptophyta, Magnoliopsida, Myrtales, Myrtaceae. The transcript has 3 exons. The record is from RefSeq and is a predicted model, not a curated record.
CUUCCAAUCAGUAUUCGCUCAUUUCUCUAGGGCUUACGCGCGCCGGCUCGUGCAUAACAUUCAGCUUCCAUUGAUUUGAUCAGAGCAUACCUAAAAAAACAUGACGAAGAAGAUCGUGUUGAAGGUUCAGAUGAAGUGCCAGAAAUGCAGAACCAAGGCUCUUCAGACCAUCACCGAAGCAGAUGGUGUAAACUCAGCGGCCUUUGAAGGAGAAGACAAGGUGGUGGUAGUUGGGGGAGUUGACGCAGUGCCUCUGGUCAACCGUCUAAGAAAGAAAGUCGGUCCGACUCAGAUUAUUAGCCUCGGAGAAGGGAAGUAACACCCGUGAAAAGAAAAUACUCACAUGAAGAAAAUGACAUGACUCAGAUUUUUCUUUUCUGUUCUUUUCCUAUUUUGAGAGAGAGAGAGAUUGUCAAGUUUCAUUAGGAGGCUGCUGAAAUUUUUUUGUAUUACUUUUCUUGGCUCUUUUUACAAUUAUGAUUCGACAUGAAUAACAAUAUCAAAUAUGUUAAUAUAUUUAGUGAGAUUUUACAUAUACAGUCUUUUUUUUUA